Molecule: unclassified non-coding RNA, 956 nt
Filed under: Zea mays
Lineage: Eukaryota; Viridiplantae; Streptophyta; Magnoliopsida; Poales; Poaceae
Description: misc RNA Zm00001eb242910
Source: RNAcentral
CCGAACUAAAGAGAACUCUCCCAGAAGUACUCUUGUAUUUACAUGAUCGAUGGUAAGAACUCCUAAAACAACGUCGUUGAGGAUGCGAUGCACCGGCGGCAGACCAGUAGGUCUACCGGAGCACGACGGCGGCGAUGAAGCUGAGAACGGCAACGGCGCUGACGGCGGAGCAGCAGAGAUCGACGAGCACCUCCUUCCUGGCCUUGGACUCCUUCCUCCCCCUCUUGCUCCUGACGAAGUCUCGGUACCUCCGCCUGGCCGUCUCCUCCUGCUCCUCCUCCCCUCCCUUCCUCGGCCCCACCAUGGCGGCCGCGAUCAGCCGCAUGGCGCCUUCGCCGCUGACCGCCGCGCCGUCGGCGUCCUCGACGGUAAGGCUGAUCUCCCGGACGUGCGCCGUCUCCAGGGCGCAGGUGACGGUGGCCUCGAACUUGCACCCGGCGAGCACGAGCGCGUAGCGCAGCAGCGUGUCGCCCGUGUACCAGUGCCUGUCGACGGCGACGGGGCGGCGGCUGGACACGUUGACCGCGCGGCCGCUGCCGGGGUCGACCGCGACCCAGCUGAGCUCCAGCUCCGCCGGGGCGGCGGCGGCGGCGGCGCGGCCGACGGGCACGGCGGGGCCCUUGCACUCCACGGCGUCGACGCGGAAGGGCGAGGCGAGGAACCACGAGGACGACGUGCACGUCUCCACGACGCGGGACAGCAGCGGCUCGCCGCGGUGGUAGACGUCCACGGCGGAGACGAUGCCGCUCGGGACGGGGAGCUGUGGCUCAGCCUCGGCACGGGCCAUGGGGGGAGCUGCCGAUGUGGCGCUGUCGUCGUCGGCCGGGAACGGGAAGGCGUCGGCGAAGAGGCGCUGCGGCGAGGCGAGGAGGAGGUCCGGGCGCGCGGCGGCCAGCGACGGCCACCGCGCGAGGCAGAGCGCGCGCCACGUCUCCGGGUCGGCGGCGAGCGCCCGG